GACGAACGCUGGCGGCGUGCUUAACACAUGCAAGUCGAACGGAAAGGCCCUGCUUUUGCGGGGUGCUCGAGUGGCGAACGGGUGAGUAACACGUGAGUAACCUGCCCUUGACUUUGGGAUAACUUCAGGAAACUGGGGCUAAUACCGGAUAGGAGCUCCUGCUGCAUGAUGGGGGUUGGAAAGUUUCGGCGGUUGGGGAUGGACUCGCGGCUUAUCAGCUUGUUGGUGGGGUAGUGGCUUACCAAGGCUUUGACGGGUAGCCGGCCUGAGAGGGUGACCGGCCACAUUGGGACUGAGAUACGGCCCAGACUCCUACGGGAGGCAGCAGUGGGGAAUAGUGCACAAUGGGCGGAAGCCUGAUGCAGCAACGCCGCGUGCGGGAUGACGGCCUUCGGGUUGUAAACCGCUUUCGCCUGUGACGAAGCGUGAGUGACGGUAAUGGGUAAAGAAGCACCGGCUAACUACGUG
This 468-nucleotide ribosomal RNA is filed under the name uncultured bacterium. Its description in RNAcentral is "partial 16S ribosomal RNA". It matches the Rfam family "Bacterial small subunit ribosomal RNA", at positions 28 to 507 of the family's 1533-position model. The record is from RNAcentral.